ACUUAAGACAAUGGACUAGGGACCUCCAAAUGUGCAUUUACUUUCUCCUGCUGAACAGAUUGGUUGACAUUUUGAUAGAUGGUUUCCAGAAGGCUCUAGAAGGAUAAAAGGAGAUAUAAGGGAUAUUGCCUAUGUGUGUUCAUGCAAAGGAACUGCACAAUUCAGGAAAAGUUGUAACUUUAAUGAUUCCCUCAACACUCAAGAGGAGUAGGCAGUGAAGCAAGUCCUGAAAAUCAUUACAAAACUGGAUGAACCAGAAGCUCCUCUCACAAGGGCCCCAAGGCACCAUGCAAAGCAGCAGUGACUGGCCUGGUUCUUAUGCUGAGCUAAACUGAAAAAAGGAAGAGCUGGUUGACACAAAAGAGAUGAAAAUAACUGAUAUUAACCUGAGAAAUAAGCCAAGUACUUGAAGGCAGAGCAUUUUGGUCCAAACUGUCCCAUGCAGGGCUCCAAAGUUCCUGCAUGCAUCUCAGCCAUGAUGUGACAGCUCUCUGUGACUCACAGGUCAUGCCUGCUUGUUCAGCCAAGAUUUGCCAUGCCUAAUUUCCUGUCUCAACACCUGAAAUUGCAAAAGAUGCAGACACAGAGCAUGUGUGCUCACUUAAGAUGGAAAGGGGGCUUAGAAGCUGGAAGCAGAAAAUACUGGCAAAAUGUGGUUAUCUUGGAGAACGACUUCCUGAGAACUUAGCAUCAGGGGCCACCUGCCCUCCCGAGAGGACCAGCAAAUGGGACCAGCUUUUGAGAAAUCUGUUCAAUCAAAUUAAUUACUCUCCAAUAUAGAAACGAUACACCAACUGUCUGAAUUUGCUGGAAAAUAUUCACAAGUACAAUGAUAGCAAUCAUACCAAAGCUCCUCAUCCAGAGAAACUAUUCUUAAUAAUUGAAAUGUGUUCUCAUCCAGGAUUUUUAUUUCACAUAUGCCUCUGACAUCACAACAGCUGCAUAAUUCACUAUUUUGUUUUGUUCAAAAUUAUAGUCUGUAUAUUUCUCUUCUACUACAAAAAUUGAGUCUCCGUCAUUUUAAAAGAUGAUAUUAUUUGGUUAUA
Molecule: long non-coding RNA, 1046 nt
Organism: Chinchilla lanigera (long-tailed chinchilla)
Lineage: Eukaryota; Metazoa; Chordata; Mammalia; Rodentia; Chinchillidae
Exons: 5
Source: RefSeq, a predicted model, not a curated record